UAGGGAAUUUUGCACAAUGGACGCAAGUCUGAUGCAGCAACACUGCGUGAAGGAUGAAGGUUUUCGGAUCGUAAACUUCUUUUACGAGGGAAUAAAUAUGAAGGUACCUCGUGAAUAAGCACCGGCUAACUACGUGCCAGCAGCCGCGGUAAUACGUAGGGUGCGAACAUUAUCCGGAUUUAUUGGGCGUAAAGAGCUCGUAGGUUGUUUUGCAAGUCUGGUAUGAAAGAUCUGGGCCCAACCCAGGGAACGUAUCGGAAACUACAUAACUAGAGGUGUACAGGGGAAGAUGGAACUUGUAGUGUAGCAGUGAAAUGCGUAGAUAUUACAAGGAACGCCGAUGGUGAAGACAGUCUUCUGGGUACCACCUGACACUGAGGAGCGAAAGCGUGGGGAGCGAACGGG
RNAcentral lists this ribosomal RNA (405 nucleotides) under uncultured bacterium. RNAcentral's name for it is "bacterial SSU rRNA". It matches the Rfam family "Bacterial small subunit ribosomal RNA", at positions 355 to 776 of the family's 1533-position model. The record is from RNAcentral.